GCCUCCAUUUUUCAGUCUCCUUUUCAGCCUCAUGUUUUUAGCCAAAAUUUAUCAGCCUCCAAUUUUCAGCCUCCAAAGACCAGCCUCCAUGUUCAUUCCUCCAUUGUUCUCUCUCGUUUUCCUGCCUCCAUCUCUCUGCCUCCAUUUUUCUGCCUCCGUUUUUCAGACUCCAUUUUUCAGCCUCCAAAUACCAACCUCCAUUUUUCAGCUUCCAUUUUUCAGCCUCCAUUUUCAGACUGCAUUUUACAGCCUCCAUUUUUCAACCUCCAAAAUCCGCCUCCAUUUUUCAGCGUCCAUUUUUAAGCCUUUAUUUUUCUGCUUCCGUUUUUCAGCCUCCAUUUUUCAGCCUCCAAAAUCCAGCCUCCAUUUUUCAGUCUCCAAAAACCAGCCUCCAUUUUUCAGCUUCCAUUUUUCAGCCUCCAAAAAUCAGCCUCCAUUUUGCAUCCUCCAAAAACCUGCCUCCAUUUUUCAGCCUUUUUGCUGCCAGGAUUUAACAGCGCUUUGUAAGUGGUGUGAUGUUUCUUCAUGGUGCCAAGCAAAUUAG
This 544-nucleotide long non-coding RNA is filed under the name Numida meleagris (helmeted guineafowl). Its description in RNAcentral is "lncRNA (ENSNMEG00000014558.1)". The record is from RNAcentral. Lineage: Eukaryota; Metazoa; Chordata; Aves; Galliformes; Numididae.